This 119-nucleotide ribosomal RNA is filed under the name Sinocyclocheilus anshuiensis. Lineage: Eukaryota; Metazoa; Chordata; Actinopteri; Cypriniformes; Cyprinidae. The record is from RNAcentral.
ACUUGCGGCCAUACCACCCUGUCUGCGCCCUAUCUCAUCUGAUCUCGGAAGCUAAGCAGGGUCGGACUUGGUUAGUACGUGGAUGGGAGACUGCCUGGGAAUACCAGUUACUGUAAGCU